Non-coding RNA from Ixodes scapularis (black-legged tick), 84 nucleotides. The record is from Rfam. NCBI's taxonomy places the organism in Eukaryota, Metazoa, Arthropoda, Arachnida, Ixodida, Ixodidae.
GUCAGGAUGGCCGAGCGGUCUAAGGCGCUGCGUUCAGGUCGCAGUCCGGUCUUCCGGGCGCGGGUUCGAAUCCCACUUCUGACA